GUGAACGCUGGCGGGAGGCCUAACACAUGCAAGUCGAACGGCAGCACAGUAAGAGCUUGCUCUUACGGGUGGCGAGUGGCGGACGGGGGAGGAAUACAUCGGAAUCUACUUUUUCGUGGGGGAUAACGUAGGGAAACUUACGCUAAUACCGCAUACGACCUACGGGUGAAAGCAGGGGAUCUUCGGACCUUGCGCGAUUGAAUGAGCCGAUGUCGGAUUAGCUAGUUGGCGGGGUAAAGGCCCACCAAGGCGACGAUCCGUAGCUGGUCUGAGAGGAUGAUCAGCCACACUGGAACUGAGACACGGUCCAGACUCCUACGGGAGGCAGCAGUGGGGAAUAUUGGACAAUGGGCGCAAGCCUGAUCCAGCCAUACCGCGUGGGUGAAGAAGGCCUUCGGGUUGUAAAGCCCUUUUGUUGGGAAAGAAAAGCAGCAGGUUAAUACCCCGCUGUUCUGACGGUACCCAAAGAAUAAGCACCGGCUAACUUCGUG
This 491-nucleotide ribosomal RNA is filed under the name uncultured bacterium. Its description in RNAcentral is "partial 16S ribosomal RNA". It matches the Rfam family "Bacterial small subunit ribosomal RNA", at positions 29 to 507 of the family's 1533-position model. The record is from RNAcentral.